Molecule: ribosomal RNA, 334 nt
Filed under: uncultured bacterium
Lineage: Bacteria
Description: partial 16S ribosomal RNA
Rfam family: Bacterial small subunit ribosomal RNA
Source: RNAcentral
CCUACGGGUGGCAGCAGUAGGGAAUAUUGCUCAAUGGGGGAAACCCUGAAGCAGCAACGCCGCGUGGAGGAUGAAGGUUUUCGGAUUGUAAACUCCUUUUGUUAGAGAAGAUAAUGACGGUUUCUAACGAAUAAUCACCUGCUAACUCCGUGCCAGCAGCCGCGGUAAUACGGGGGGUGCAAGCGUUACUUGGAAUCACUGGGCGUAAAGAUCGCGUAGGCGGGAUAGCAAGUCAGAUGGGAAAUCCUAUGGCUUAAACAUAGAACUGCACUGGAAACUGUGAAUAUAGAGUAUGGGAGAGGUAGGGGGAAAUCUUGGUGGAGGGGGAGAAGCC